Molecule: ribosomal RNA, 458 nt
Filed under: uncultured bacterium
Lineage: Bacteria
Description: SSU rRNA
Rfam family: Bacterial small subunit ribosomal RNA
Source: RNAcentral
AGAAUCAACGCUGGCGGCGUGCCUAACACAUGCAAGUCGAACGAGAAAGUGGAGCAAUCCAUGAGUAAAGUGGCGCACGGGUGAGUAACACGUGACUAACCUACCCUUGAGUGGGGAAUAACUUCGGGAAACCGAGGCUAAUACCGCAUAACACCUACGGGUCAAAGGAGCAAUUCGCUUAAGGAGGGGUCGCGGCAGAUUAGUUAGUUGGCAGGGUAAUGGCCUACCAAGACGGUGAUCUGUAUCCGGCCUGAGAGGGCGCACGGACACACUGGAACUGAAACACGGUCCAGACUCCUACGGGAGGCAGCAGUGGGGAAUUUGCGCAAUGGGGGAAACCCUGACGCAGCAACGCCGCGUGGAGGAUGAAGUCCCUUGGGACGUAAACUCCUUUCGAUCGGGACGAUUAUGACGGUACCGGAAGAAGAAGCCCCGGCUAACUUCGUGCCAGCAGCCGC